This 1563-nucleotide long non-coding RNA is filed under the name Capsicum annuum. Its description in RNAcentral is "long non-coding RNA (CANN_LNC016954)". Lineage: Eukaryota; Viridiplantae; Streptophyta; Magnoliopsida; Solanales; Solanaceae. The record is from RNAcentral.
AAAUGAUGAACAAAUAAAGAAAAGAAAACAAAAAAACUGUAAGUGAAUGAUUGAAUCUUAAAAUUCUAAAGUAAAUUAUUAGUUAUAUAUUUUAAAAAAAAAAGAAUAAUAAAAUUUUGCAAAGAAAAUACAUAAAGUUAUAAUAUGUCAAGGAUAUUUUUGUAAACAAAUAAUAUUCUUUUAAAAAUAUAACAAUACAUAUUAUUUUUAAUAUAUCAUAUUAAACACUGUAUAAAAAAUAAUCCCAAUAUUACUAAUUCUUAUACUACUAAUCCCCAUAUUAAUAAUACAACCUAUUCAAUAUUAUCUUAUACAUCCUAUCAAACUAUCCUUCAUGGAUAAUCAGAAUCACCAAAUUAAUGAUUCAAUCACAAUGAAUCAUCACCUAUAUUUUUAUUACAAUAAAAUAUUCUGUAAACAUCAUAGAUGUUAAGGGCGUGGUUCUUCACCAAUUCAUUUGAAUCCAAUUAGGAUGAAUCAUAGCGUAUAUUUAUAUCACAAUAGAUUGUCUGAAUCAUAUAGGUUAAAGGCGCAGUCCUUCACCAAAUUGGUUUGACUGUGAAAUGCGUAAUACACUGAAUUGUUCUAAUAACAAAGAACCAAUAGUAAUACAAUAAUUUGAGAGAGAGAAACAAAAUUCCAAACUUAAAUAUAUUCAUCAUGGAGAUGAAAAUGAUACAACAGCCAAACAAAACAUUAAAAUAUAAUCCUCUCUCAUUUUUCUCCAUCUAAAACUUAGGAGAUUAUUCCAUUACAUAGAGAGAAUUACAACACAAACAACUCAAGAAAAGAAAAUUCACACAUAAUACUAAUAACAGAAGUAUAGAUCUGAGUUAAAAAUUACAGAAUCUCACAACUUCAAAUUUUAAAAAAGCAAGCACUAAUUACCCUUUUAUUUUAUUGCCCUAUCAUACAUGAUAAAAAGGCAAAAUUAAUACCACAAAUUUAAACAAACUUAAAGACUCUCUCUCCUUAUACACACAUACAUAUAUCUAGAUGAAUAAGUUGUUCUGAACUAUUCAUGCAGUUGGUGGUGAACUAAUGGAAGCCACCAUGGUGGUGGUGAUGGUGGAACUGGUAUUAGAGCCAUCUCCACCGCCCCCAUCAUCAUCAUUUCCUUUGAAAAGAGGUUCCUCUAAAGUAUCUUUAGAGGAAAAUAUAGAGGCUACACUCUCAAGAAAGCUCUCAAAAAUUUGAGCUUUGAUUUGACCUCUUUUAGGUGGAAUUCCUUUGUUUUUUCUAUUCUGUUGGGAGUUUGGUGUUGUAGUUGCAGCCAUCAAGAAAAUAUUUUAAGGAAGAAUUUGUGGAGAAAUUCAAGUAGGGUGGGGUGGGGUGGGGUAUUUAAAGAAUCAGGGAAUUAUGAGGGUGGAUAAAGCUCCAUGAGAGAAGAGAAAGAAAGGAGCUAAGGGAAAGGAGAAGGAAAUGAGAAAAGAGGAGAAAUAAUAUACACGUGGUGAAAAUGCUCAUUUUAUAGUGUCACAGCUUGCAACUUGUGGAAAAUAUUUUGAUGGGAUUUUCGAAGAAACUUUUGUUCAAGUCUACUAUACGGACACGAAACUAGCU